GUUCUUUUCCUGGAGGAGCUCUACGGUGAUUUUGAAGACUUGGAAACGGGACGUGCACAAGGGAAAAUCGGGCCCCGACACUCAGAAUGAAGAUAUAGAGAAACAAGGAAGAAAUUGACCCUGACGAAGAAGAAAGUGCCAAGAAAAAGCAUUUGGAUAAGAAGAGAAAAUUGAAGGAGAUGUUUGAUGCAGAAUAUGAUGAAGGAGAAAGCACAUAUUUUGAUGAUCUUAAAGGAGAAAUGCAGAAAGAAGCACAGCUGAAUCACGUAGAAUUUGAAGAUCAAGAUGAUGAAGCCAGAGUUCAGUAUGAGGGUUUUCGACCUGGGAUGUAUGUCCGCGUUGAGAUUGAAAAUGUUCCCUGUGAAUUUGUGCAGAACUUUGACCCCCAUUACCCCAUUAUCCUGGGUGGCUUGGGCAACAGUGAAGGAAAUGUUGGACACGUGCAGAUGCGUCUGAAGAAACAUCGCUGGUAUAAGAAAAUCCUCAAGUCCCAAGAUCCAAUCAUAUUUUCUGUAGGGUGGAGGAGGUUUCAGACCAUCCUGCUCUAUUAUAUCGAAGACCACAAUGGAAGACAAAGGCUUCUAAAGUAUACGCCACAGCACAUCCAUUGUGGAGCAGCCUUUUGGGGUAAAAUAUGAUUACAAUAACUUGCCUAUUGCCGAGAUUAAACUUUACAGGCUGUGUUAUUUUA
Molecule: RNA transcript, 691 nt
Organism: Homo sapiens (human)
Lineage: Eukaryota; Metazoa; Chordata; Mammalia; Primates; Hominidae
Gene: BMS1P14
Gene name: BMS1 pseudogene 14
Exons: 4
Source: RefSeq, marked validated